UUUGCCAGAGCAGUUCUGGUUUUGCUCGGGUUUUUGGUUUUGGGAGAUGCUCCAUGUUUUUUUUUUUUUCUGCUCUGGUAGCACUGGUUUGUGACCUGAUGUCGAAUUAUUGAGUGCUAUUCAGAAGUCACGUGAUGCCAUUCUGGUUGCCAUAGAGACCUCAAGUGCAUCAGCUGGGCAGCAUGCAGACAAUGUUGCUGCAACGUUUCUCAGAGGCUGUCAUAGCAACGCUGGGUGAACACGAUCAGACAACGAGAGGAACUCUACUUCAAAUACCUCGAGAAGCUGCUUUCCUCAUCCAAGCGAAAGCCGUCAUCAGCUGCAAAGCUCUGCAGGAGUCGGCUCACCGCGUGGCCCUUGGCCUGGACAGGAAACAGGAUGUGACAUCAGUGGGCAGAAAGCAGGAUAUGGCAUCCCUUCAUUAUAUGUCCAAAUCAAUCAACAGUAAACAGGAUCUGCAGUGCGCUGUUCCGCUGAGGUCUUCUUUGUGGCUUCCUUGCUGGUUCUGCUUCCCUCUGUGAGAGCUCCAUGGCUCCCCCGGCUGUCCCCAAAGCUGCAGCCCACUGAUGAC
Molecule: long non-coding RNA, 571 nt
Organism: Xiphias gladius (swordfish)
Lineage: Eukaryota; Metazoa; Chordata; Actinopteri; Istiophoriformes; Xiphiidae
Exons: 4
Source: RefSeq, a predicted model, not a curated record